GCAGUAUGAAAUUUGUCGUGGACUCUUACCACUGUAUUUAUUCGUUUUUUAACUCAGACUUGAUGAUUGAAUAGAAGGCAACAAUUCCAACUAAAGAAAAGCGAAAUCCCGCUUAGGCCCUUAAAAUUACCAACAAUCAGCAUUUAUCCAAUGGUCGCCAUCGCCACCUCCUUCUCCGCCGCCGCCGCCGUCGCCGUCGCCCGCCGGAGCUCCCCGGCUCACCUCCAGCUCGUCGCUCGCCGCCGCCUCCCGUUCUGCACAGCCGCCUCCUCAUCCACCGUGCCACCUGCCGCUGCGGCGGGCUUUGGGUGGGCCGACGCCCUCCGAGUUGCCAGCGAAUUCGGGGUCGGCGAUGAGUCCGACCUUUCGGGAUACUUCCAGAAGGUCGACAUCUGCAACCGAGGAAUGGGUAACAAGGGGGAGUUCGUGGAGUUCAUGGUGGAGGAUCAAGUGGUGGGAUACAUCCACAAGGGGUUUACUGAACACCUGAGGGACUUCCAUGAUGUUUUUACCAUUGUCUCGGGCAGCAAUGGCAAGAACAGUGUGGAGCAUGUGACUCUCCACUCAUCGCUCAGGACUCCAGAAGAUCGAACAAUCGCCAUCGGAGAUGUCAUAAAAGGCCUAGGGGAACUCAUUCCUGGUAUACGAAAUGAGCUCUAUCCAGUAACCUCAUCUUACGGCAUGCCUGUGUACUUCUCUCUGGAACGUGCUGCUGCUCCCUACUUUGGUAUAAAGGCUUAUGGUGUUCAUAUGAAUGGGUACAUCGAGAAGCAUGGUGAAAAGUCUCUUUGGAUUGGUAAGAGAAGUGAUGUGAAGCAAACUUACCCUGGGAUGCUAGAUCAUCUUGUUGCUGGUGGCCUGCCUUACGGAAUCUCCUGUAAAGAGAAUAUCAUCAAGGAAUGUGAAGAGGAAGCAGGAAUACCAAGAUCCAUGUCAACCAACGCUACUUCUGUUGGAGCCAUUUCUUACAUGGAUAUCAAUGGGUUUAGAUACAAAAGGGAUGUUCUGUUCUGCUAUGACCUUAGACUUCCUGUAGAUUUCGUUCCUAAUAAUGAAGAUGGAGAAGUUGAUAGCUUCAGACUAAUCCCGGUACCACAUGCUGCAAACAUUAUACGGAGGACAGAUUUUUUCAAGCCAAACUGCAACCUUGUGAUCAUUGACUUCCUCUUCCGUCAUGGGUACAUAAACCCAGACUGUAAUGGGUACCUGAAGCUGCUGACAAGCUUGAGGAGUGGUGAUUGUUCCUAGGGCUUGCAGUUCGCUGUUCAAACAGAAGAAUCAGAUUACCAGCAUUAAUCGUUGAUUUUUUGGAGCCUGAAGCUAAACACCGUGUGCGCUCUAUCCACCAGAAUGGAACUUCGAGAUCAGUCUUUAUCAAAGCUGUAUUAAUAAUUCCUGCCGACUGGCAGUUUGCAAUAGAUCCCUUUUUUUUUGCCUUUCUUGAGUCCCUCGAUCUGGUUCAAUUUCUCGCAAAAAGCUGGGGAGUUGGAGUCGAACCUCGUACCCCUACAGGUUAGUUAUCAACUCAAUUACCACUUGGGCUGGCUCAGCUUUGAUGGUAAAUCUAGCUUUCUUUUCUUUUGUACCUUCACAUAUCCAGCCAAAAAAUAACAAAGAAAGGAACGCUUGUGUAAA
Molecule: RNA transcript, 1635 nt
Organism: Triticum aestivum (bread wheat)
Lineage: Eukaryota; Viridiplantae; Streptophyta; Magnoliopsida; Poales; Poaceae
Gene name: nudix hydrolase 20, chloroplastic
Exons: 10
Source: RefSeq, a predicted model, not a curated record